Long non-coding RNA from Lathyrus oleraceus (garden pea), 1605 nucleotides. RefSeq lists it as uncharacterized. Lineage: Eukaryota; Viridiplantae; Streptophyta; Magnoliopsida; Fabales; Fabaceae. The record is from RefSeq and is a predicted model, not a curated record. The transcript has 2 exons.
UCGAAGAAGAUAAAAUUAUCAAAGAAGCAACCACAAUUCAUUCUUCAAUUUCCUAUUUAUAUGAGGGUAUUUUGGUCAAAAAAAUUUAAAUAUAGGGGUGUGGGUACAAUUGUAGGGGUACGGGGUAAAGUUUUCCAAAAUCGGAGAGGUAUGUUCCAUUGGAAAGGACUUCGCUUGGGCCAAAGGCCCAAUUCGUCAACACCCAAAUCUGGAUUCCUCAGUCAUCACCAGAUUCACCCUAACGUCAUGCCAAUUCGGAACUGAUUCAACCUAACACCGCGGACUCGGAGUCGCCACCGUCACUGAAACGCCAUGAGAAUUUCGAAACGUAUGAACGCGGAUUCAUAUUCUCCAAGACUCCAGGUCAAUGUUCAACGAACGCUUCAACACGAACUGGAAUCUCGACGAAAGGUCAGGGAUUCAAUUUCUCAACAUAAACAUCGAGAAUCUCGACGCGACUUUAAUUCAUUCUCAACACAAACAUCGGGAAUCUCGACGAAAGGUCAGGGAUUCAAUUUCUCCCUCCACGAAAAAACAAGAACGAAAUGGACCCGCGUGGUAUUUCGACACCAAAAUGAAACGAGACCAAAAUCGAGUUCGACUUGCCCUCACGCGUGCGGCGUAGAGAAGAUUGAAGGAAGAAGAAAUUUACCGUAUGUUUUGUCGUGUUAUUGAUGUUCAAUGGCGUCGUGUUUGCAAGGAAGAGCGAAAAUGAUUGAUGAUGCAUUCGUGAUGGAGAUGUAGACGUUGACGAGUUCGUGGUUGCGAAUCGAUUGGGAUGAUGGUAAAGCCCCAGUUCGCAUGUGUUUCUUUUCCAGAAGUCUGGUUAGGGUUGAGGGAGAUUGAAGUUUUGUAGUUCUCUUUUCUGCAGGUUCGGUUGGUUCUGGGAAGGAAGUGAUGUGGAUUGUAGGGAAUUGGAGGACGGUGUUUCGAUGAGGGUGAAGAAGAGGGUUCUGGAGGAUGAUGAAGGGUGAGGUUGAAGAAGAGGGUUGGUUGAAAUGAGGGUGAAGUUCUGUUAUGAUGUAGUUUUUGAGUUGAAGCUGAAGUUUUUGUUUUUGAAGGUUGGAAUUAGAGGGAAAAUCCCAAUUGGUUAGGAAGUGGUUUGGAUUUCGGUUGAGGAUUGUGGAGUUUUUGUUACAAUUCAGUUAUCGAUUUGUUAUUCAUUCUGUUAUUUUUUAGUUGGAGUUUGUUAUGGUUUUGAAUGAGUUUUUGUUGCUAGUUGGUUUUCGGAUCAAAUUGGCUUUGAAGUAUAGUGUGAAGGUGAAUAUCCAUUGGCAAAAAAUCUGUUGAAAGGUGGUGAGGAUGUGAGGUUAUGAAGCUCUCCAUUGGCUGCCUUGAAAUGCAUCGGCUGCCAUGGUGGAUGCUUUAAUUGAAUUCAAUGAAGUGCAUUGGCUAUUGGGUGAUGGAAUGCAAUAGAUUUGGAUUGGCCUUGGAAUACUUUGAUUGGAUUUUGCUUGGAAUUGCAUUGCUCAUGCUUGGAAUCAAUGGGAUUUGAUUGUAGUUAUAGAUUUUAUGUAUGAAUGAUUGUAAAUUGUUUGAAUGUACACACAUUAGAUUUUGAAUUGUAAUUAGAUUUUGAAUAUAUAAACGAUGGUUGUUUGAGAA